CUCGACUGCGACCCCAGGUCAGGCGGGA
This 28-nucleotide ribosomal RNA is filed under the name Palaquium dasyphyllum. RNAcentral's name for it is "partial 26S ribosomal RNA". The record is from RNAcentral. Lineage: Eukaryota; Viridiplantae; Streptophyta; Magnoliopsida; Ericales; Sapotaceae.